RNAcentral lists this ribosomal RNA (762 nucleotides) under uncultured bacterium. Its description in RNAcentral is "bacterial SSU rRNA". It matches the Rfam family "Bacterial small subunit ribosomal RNA", at positions 62 to 869 of the family's 1533-position model. The record is from RNAcentral.
UCUAGGGGGUGUAGCAAUACACCACCGGCGGACGGGUGCGUAACACGUGGGAAUAUACCUUUCGGUACGGAACAACUGAGGGAAACUUCAGCUAAUACCGUAUACGUCCUAACGGAGAAAGAUUUAUCGCCGAAGGAUUAGCCCGCGCUCGAUUAGCUAGUUGGUGAGGUAAUGGCUCACCAAGGCUACGAUCGAUAGCUGUUCUGAGAGGAAGAUCAGCCACACUGGGACUGAGACACGGCCCAGACUCCUACGGGAGGCAGCAGUUGGGAAUCUUGGACAAUGGGGGAAACCCUGAUCCAGCCAUGCCGCGUGAGUGAUGAAGGCCUUCGGGUUGUAAAGCUCUUUUACCCGGGAAGAUAAUGACUGUACCGGGAGAAUAAGCUCCGGCUAACUUCGUGCCAGCAGCCGCGGUAAUACGAAGGGGGCUAGCGUUGUUCGGAAUUACUGGGCGUAAAGCGCGCGCAGGCGGUUUCUCAAGUCAGUGGUGAAAGCCCGGAGCUCAACUCCGGAACUGCCAUUGAAACUGUGAGACUUGAGGACGAGAGAGGUGAGUGGAAUUCCCAGUGUAGAGGUGAAAUUCGUAGAUAUUGGGAAGAACACCGGUGGCGAAGGCGGCUCACUGGCUCGUUUCUGACGCUCAGGCGCGACAGCGUGGGGAUCAAACAGGAUUAGAUACCCUGGUAGUCCACGCCGUAAACGAUGAACGCUAGCCGUUGGGUAGCUUGCUAUUCAGUGGCGCAGCUAACGCAUUAAGCGUUC